CAAGUCGAGUGGGUUUAGACCCACGGCAGACGGCUGCGUAACACGUUGGAACCUGCCCCGAACUCAGGGAUAACCCCGCGAAAGCGGGGCUAAUACCGGAUGGUCCCGAAAGGGUAAAGAUUUUUCGGUUCGGGAGGGGCCUGCGGCCUAUCAGCUAGUUGGUGAGGUAACGGCUCACCAAGGCAAUGGCGGGUAGCUGGUUUGAGAGAACGACCAGCCAGAAUGGAACUGCGACACGGUCCAU
RNAcentral lists this ribosomal RNA (244 nucleotides) under uncultured bacterium. RNAcentral describes it as "partial 16S ribosomal RNA". It matches the Rfam family "Bacterial small subunit ribosomal RNA", at positions 58 to 334 of the family's 1533-position model. The record is from RNAcentral.